This 596-nucleotide ribosomal RNA is filed under the name Escherichia coli. Its description in RNAcentral is "partial 23S ribosomal RNA". It matches the Rfam family "Bacterial large subunit ribosomal RNA", at positions 597 to 1194 of the family's 2925-position model. Lineage: Bacteria; Pseudomonadati; Pseudomonadota; Gammaproteobacteria; Enterobacterales; Enterobacteriaceae. The record is from RNAcentral.
CUGCGUACCUUUUGUAUAAUGGGUCAGCGACUUAUAUUCUGUAGCAAGGUUAACCGAAUAGGGGAGCCGAAGGGAAACCGAGUCUUAACUGGGCGUUAAGUUGCAGGGUAUAGACCCGAAACCCGGUGAUCUAGCCAUGGGCAGGUUGAAGGUUGGGUAACACUAACUGGAGGACCGAACCGACUAAUGUUGAAAAAUUAGCGGAUGACUUGUGGCUGGGGGUGAAAGGCCAAUCAAACCGGGAGAUAGCUGGUUCUCCCCGAAAGCUAUUUAGGUAGCGCCUCGUGAAUUCAUCUCCGGGGGUAGAGCACUGUUUCGGCAAGGGGGUCAUCCCGACUUACCAACCCGAUGCAAACUGCGAAUACCGGAGAAUGUUAUCACGGGAGACACACGGCGGGUGCUAACGUCCGUCGUGAAGAGGGAAACAACCCAGACCGCCAGCUAAGGUCCCAAAGUCAUGGUUAAGUGGGAAACGAUGUGGGAAGGCCCAGACAGCCAGGAUGUUGGCUUAGAAGCAGCCAUCAUUUAAAGAAAGCGUAAUAGCUCACUGGUCGAGUCGGCCUGCGCGGAAGAUGUAACGGGGCUAAACCAUGCAC